Molecule: small nuclear RNA, 108 nt
Organism: Nycticebus coucang (slow loris)
Lineage: Eukaryota; Metazoa; Chordata; Mammalia; Primates; Lorisidae
Source: RefSeq, a predicted model, not a curated record
GCGCUCGCUUCAGCAGCACAUACACUAAAACUCGGAACAAUACGGAGAAGAUUAGCAUGGCCCCUGCGCAAGGGUGGCACACAAAUUCAUGAAGUGUUCCAGAUUUCU